This 511-nucleotide ribosomal RNA is filed under the name uncultured bacterium. RNAcentral's name for it is "SSU rRNA". It matches the Rfam family "Bacterial small subunit ribosomal RNA", at positions 26 to 521 of the family's 1533-position model. The record is from RNAcentral.
AGGACGAACGCUGGCGGCGUGCCUAACACAUGCAAGUCGAGCGGAAAGGCCUCCUUCGGGAGGUACUCGAGCGGCGAACGGGUGAGUAACACGUGGGCAACCAACCCCUCACAUCGGGAUACCCCGGGGAAACUCGGAUCAAUACCGGAUAAUGCGCGACGCUGUUGGGCGUCGCACCAAAGGUAGCUUCGGCCUCUGGUGAGGGACGGGCCCGCGGCCCAUUAGCUUGUUGGUGGGGUAAUGGCCUACCAAGGCAACGAUGGGUAGCUGGUCUGAGAGGAUGAUCAGCCACACUGGGACUGAGAUACGGCCCAGACUCCUACGGGAGGCAGCAGUGGGGAAUAUUGCGCAAUGGGCGGAAGCCUGACGCAGCAACGCCGCGUGCGGGAGGAAGGCCUUCGGGUCGUAAACCGCUUUCAGGGGGACGAAGCCACCGAGGGUUAAUAGGCCCAGUGGGGUGACGGUACUCCCGAGAAGAAGCCCCGGCUAACUACGUGCCAGCAGCCGCGGU